CACAGGGGGUGCAAGCGUUGUUCGGAAUUACUGGGCGUAAAGGGCGCGUAGGCGGUCUUGUCAGUCAGGCGUGAAAGCCCUGGGCUCAACCUGGGAUGUGCGCUUGAUACUGCAAGGCUUGAGUGCAGGAGAGGAUGGUGGAAUUCCCAGUGUAGAGGUGAAAUUCGUAGAUAUUGGGAAGAACACCGGUGGCGAAAGCGGCUUCCUGGUCCAGCACCGACAUUCAGGCACGAAAGCGUGGGGAGCAAAC
This 250-nucleotide ribosomal RNA is filed under the name uncultured bacterium. RNAcentral describes it as "partial 16S ribosomal RNA". It matches the Rfam family "Bacterial small subunit ribosomal RNA", at positions 524 to 773 of the family's 1533-position model. The record is from RNAcentral.